GGGUGCGAUCAUUCCAACACUAACGCAUCGGAUCCCACUAGAACUCCGCAGCUAAGCGUCUUUGGGCGGGAGUAGUACUAGGAUGGGUGACCUCAUGGGAAGUCCUCGUGUUCCACCCA
This is a ribosomal RNA of Quercus robur (English oak), 119 nucleotides long. Lineage: Eukaryota; Viridiplantae; Streptophyta; Magnoliopsida; Fagales; Fagaceae. The record is from RefSeq and is a predicted model, not a curated record.